CAGCCCGGUAGUUGAAAUGGCUUUCCCUCCAGAGUGGAUCCUGAGUACGGCGGAACACGUGAAAUUCCGUCGGAAUCCGGGAGGACCAUCUCCCAAGGCUAAAUACUCCCUAGUGACCGAUAGUGAACCAGUACCGUGAGGGAAAGGUGAAAAGCACCCCGGAAGGGGAGUGAAACAGUUCCUGAAACCGUGUGCCUACAAGUAGUUAGAGCCCGUUAAUGGGUGAUAGCGUGCCUUUUGUAGAAUGAACCGGCGAGUUACGAUUUGUUGCAAGGUUAAGCGGAAAAAGCGGAGCCGUAGCGAAAGCGAGUCUGAAUAGGGCGCAUAAGUAACAGGUCGUAGACCCGAAACCAGGUGAUCUACCCAUGUCCAGGAUGAAGGUAAGGUAAUACUUACUGGAGGUCCGAACCCACGCACGUUGAAAAGUGCGGGGAUGAGGUGUGGGUAGCGGAGAAAUUCCAAUCGAACUUGGAGAUAGCUGGUUCUCUCCGAAAUAGCUUUAGGGCUAGCCUCGAGGUAAAGAGUCAUGGAGGUAGAGCACUGUUUGGACUAGGGGCCCUUCUCGGGUUACCGAAUUCAGAUAAACUCCGAAUGCCAUGUACUUAUACUCGGGAGUCAGACUGCGAGUGAUAAGAUCCGUAGUCGAAAGGGAAACAGCCCAGACCACCAGUUAAGGUCCCCAAAUAUAUGUUAAGUGGAAAAGGAUGUGGGGUUGCUUAGACAACCAGGAUGUUGGCUUAGAAGCAGCCACCAUUGAAAGAGUGCGUAAUAGCUCACUGGUCGAGUGACCCCGCGCCGAAAAUGUACCGGGGCUAAACAUAUUACCGAAACUGUGGAUGAACCUCUUUAGAGGUUCGUGGUAGGAGAGCGUUCUAAGGGCGGUGAAGUCAGACCGGAAGGACUGGUGGAGCGCUUAGAAGUGAGAAUGCCGGUAUGAGUAGCGAAAGAAGGGUGAGAAUCCCUUCCACCGAAUAUCUAAGGUUUCCUGAGGAAGGCUCGUCCGCUCAGGGUUAGUCGGGACCUAAGCCGAGGCCGAUAGGCGUAGGCGAUGGACAACAGGUAGAGAUUCCUGUACCAGUGCUAAUUGUUUAACCGAUGGGGUGACACAGAAGGAUAGGGAAUCGCACGAAUGGAAAUGUGCGUCCAAGCAGUGAGUGUGAGAAGUAGGCAAAUCCGCUUCUCGCGAAGCAUGAGCUGUGAUGGGGAAGGAAAUUAAGUACGGAAGUUCCUGAUUUCACGCUGUCAAGAAAAGCCUCUAGGAAGAGUAGUACUGCCCGUACCGCAAACCGACACAGGUAGAUGAGGAGAGAAUCCUAAGGUGAGCGAGAGAACUCUCGUUAAGGAACUCGGCAAAAUGACCCCGUAACUUCGGGAGAAGGGGUGCUCUAUUAGGGUGCAAGCCCGAGAGAGCCGCAGUGAAUAGGCCCAGGCGACUGUUUAGCAAAAACACAGGUCUCUGCAAAACCGUAAGGUGACGUAUAGGGGCUGACGCCUGCCCGGUGCUGGAAGGUUAAGAGGAGUGCUUAGCUUCGGCGAAGGUACGAAUUGAAGCCCCAGUAAACGGCGGCCGUAACUAUAACGGUCCUAAGGUAGCGAAAUUCCUUGUCGGGUAAGUUCCGACCCGCACGAAAGGCGCAACGAUCUGGGCACUGUCUCAACGAGAGACUCGGUGAAAUUAUAGUACCUGUGAAGAUGCAGGUUACCCGCGACAGGACGGAAAGACCCCGUGGAGCUUUACUGCAACCUGAUAUGGAAUGUUUGUACCGCUUGUACAGGAUAGGUAGGAGCCGAAGAGACGUGUGCGCUAGCAUACGAGGAGGCAAUGGUGGGAUACUACCCUGGCUGUAUGACCAUUCUAACCCGCCACGCUUAGCGCGUGGGGAGACAGUGUCAGGUGGGCAGUUUGACUGGGGCGGUCGCCUCCUAAAGAGUAACGGAGGCGCCCAAAGGUUCCCUCAGAAUGGAUGGAAAUCAUUCGCAGAGUGUAAAGGCACAAGGGAGCUUGACUG
RNAcentral lists this ribosomal RNA (2009 nucleotides) under Listeria monocytogenes. Its description in RNAcentral is "partial 23S ribosomal RNA". It matches the Rfam family "Bacterial large subunit ribosomal RNA", at positions 368 to 2375 of the family's 2925-position model. Lineage: Bacteria; Bacillati; Bacillota; Bacilli; Caryophanales; Listeriaceae. The record is from RNAcentral.